Molecule: long non-coding RNA, 382 nt
Filed under: Ictidomys tridecemlineatus (thirteen-lined ground squirrel)
Lineage: Eukaryota; Metazoa; Chordata; Mammalia; Rodentia; Sciuridae
Description: lncRNA (ENSSTOG00000031835.1)
Source: RNAcentral
UUCAGAAAGAGUGGAUAAUCGUCAACCGUCUGAUCAAUGGCUAACUAACGAACAGGAGACCGUGGGUGACCCUUGACGCACGAUUUCCCUCUGGACUCUUCUCUUAUUUUUUUUCCCCCUCUCCCAAACAGGAGAUUUGAUGUGUCUGAUAUUUUUACAAAAGAAGAAAACGAGGCGGGAGGGGUGGCGUGCAAGUGCUACUCUGACUUCACAUCUGUCCCUUCCUGCAGCAGAAUUUGUCUCCCUUGAGUGGCUGUGAAUCCGGGAUUUGGGGAGCACCAAGAGAUUCUGAUGAGCCUCACCUCUACUCCAGGUGAGCCUCAAACCUCACCAAGACGUGCUGAACAUGGGAAAAAGGUGGUGAAACAAAGAUCCAGGAAAA